UUGGCCAGCGCGCUGACCUACUAAUCUCUCCCAACCCUGCAGGUAUGUCAGUGCAAUGUCAAGGGCAGAUCACGCACGAUCACUCGAUCAUUAGAGAAAAGAGAAUCAACCGUUGCUGCGCGUUUCUAUUUACCGAGUGUCAAAUUAAUUUUCUUAAAUCCUACUACUACUACAAAUUAUUAUUAUAAAUUAAAGUGCUAGAUCUUAACAGCUACACUAAAUCAGAGGUUCAACCAAUUUUAUAACCUCUUUCUUCACGUGCUUACUGGCAAUUACCUAAAGGGCUCUAGGACUUCUGCGAAGAGCAAAAGCAGAAUAAUACCAGAUAUUAAAAGGGAGACUAAAC
This is a long non-coding RNA of Wyeomyia smithii (pitcher-plant mosquito), 346 nucleotides long. RefSeq lists it as uncharacterized. Lineage: Eukaryota; Metazoa; Arthropoda; Insecta; Diptera; Culicidae. The record is from RefSeq and is a predicted model, not a curated record. The transcript has 3 exons.